Yarrowia lipolytica CLIB122 is the source of this 84-nucleotide non-coding RNA. The record is from the annotation of a RefSeq genome assembly. NCBI's taxonomy places the organism in Eukaryota, Fungi, Ascomycota, Dipodascomycetes, Dipodascales.
GUCAAUUUGGCCGAGUGGUCUAAGGCGUCCGACUCAAGUUUUCGGAUCUCGCAAGAGGCGAGGGUUCGAAUCCCUCAGUUGACA